RNAcentral lists this non-coding RNA (74 nucleotides) under Pantoea sp. Its description in RNAcentral is "Fluoride sequence". It matches the Rfam family "Fluoride riboswitch aptamer (crcB RNA motif)". The record is from RNAcentral. Lineage: Bacteria; Pseudomonadati; Pseudomonadota; Gammaproteobacteria; Enterobacterales; Erwiniaceae.
CUCAGCACGGGUGAUGGCGUACCACCCGAUCCAACCGCCGCUGUUUUCAGACGGCUGAUGACGCCUGACUAUAC